AUUGAACGCUGGCGGCGUGCCUAACACAUGCAAGUCGAGCGGUAACAGGUGUAGCAAUACAUGCUGACGAGCGGCGAACGGGUGAGUAAUGCUUUGGAAUCUUCCCAGUAGUGGGGAAUAACCAGUCGAAAGAUUGGCUAAUACCGCAUACGUCUGUAAAGGGAAAGCGGGGCGUCGUAAGACCUCGCGCUAUUGGAUGAGCCAAAGUCGGAUUAGCUAGUUGGGGGGUAAGUGGCCUACCAAGGCGACAAUCCGUAGCUGGUCUGAGAGGACGACCAGCCACACCGGAACUGAGACACGGUCCGGACUCCUACCGGGAGGCAGCAGUGGGGAAGUAUUGGACAAUGGGGGAAACCCGUGAUCCAGCGACGCCGCGUGUGUGAAGAAGGCCUGCGGG
This 397-nucleotide ribosomal RNA is filed under the name uncultured bacterium. RNAcentral describes it as "bacterial SSU rRNA". It matches the Rfam family "Bacterial small subunit ribosomal RNA", at positions 30 to 422 of the family's 1533-position model. The record is from RNAcentral.